GAUGAAGAACGUAGCGAAAUGCGAUACGUAAUGUGAAUUGCAGAAUUCAGUGAAUCAUCGAAUCUUUGAACGCAUAUUGCGCUCUCUGGUAUUCCGGAGAGCAUGCUUGUUUGAGUAUCAGUAAACACCUCAACUUCCAUAUCUUUUUGGAAAUGGGAGUUGGACUUGAGUGAUCCCAACGCUUUUCUUCACCGAAAAGUGGCGGGUUACUUGAAAUGCAGGUGCAGCUGGACUUUUCUCUGAGCUAUAAGCAUAUCUAUUUAGUCUGCCUAAAAAACAGAUUAUUACCUUUGCUGCAGCUAACAUAAAGGAGAUUAGUUCUUGUGCUGACUGAUGCAGGAUUCACAAAGACGGCUUCGGCCGACUUUGUAAACUCGAUCUCAAAUCAAGUAAGACUACCCGCUGAACUUAAGCAUAUCAAUAAGCGGAGGA
RNAcentral lists this unclassified non-coding RNA (432 nucleotides) under soil metagenome. Its description in RNAcentral is "partial contains 5.8S ribosomal RNA, internal transcribed spacer 2, and large subunit ribosomal RNA". The stretch from base 1 to 120 matches the Rfam family "5.8S ribosomal RNA", at positions 35 to 154 of the family's 154-position model. The record is from RNAcentral.